This 69-nucleotide transfer RNA is filed under the name Carcharhinus falciformis (silky shark). RNAcentral describes it as "tRNA-His". It matches the Rfam family "tRNA". From Rfam's summary of the family: Transfer RNA (tRNA) molecules are approximately 80 nucleotides in length. Their secondary structure includes four short double-helical elements and three loops (D, anti-codon, and T loops). Further hydrogen bonds mediate the characteristic L-shaped molecular structure. tRNAs have two regions of fundamental functional importance: the anti-codon, which is responsible for specific mRNA codon recognition, and the 3' end, to which the tRNAs corresponding amino acid is attached (by aminoacyl-tRNA synthetases). tRNAs cope with the degeneracy of the genetic code in two manners: having more than one tRNA (with a specific anti-codon) for a particular amino acid; and 'wobble' base-pairing, i.e. permitting non-standard base-pairing at the 3rd anti-codon position. Lineage: Eukaryota; Metazoa; Chordata; Chondrichthyes; Carcharhiniformes; Carcharhinidae. The record is from RNAcentral.
GUAUUUAUAGUUUAAAUAAAACAUUAGAUUGUGGUUCUAAAGACAAAAGUUAAAACCUUUUUAUCUACC